GUCACUGGGGAGAAGGGAGGUUGGCCUCAGCCACUAGAAGUCUUGGCUGUUUUGGUCUUCUGGGUGACUGGUAUGGACACAGAGUGAUGUAACCAGCUUGCCCCUGACAGAUCCGGAAGAUGAAGCUUCCUGGUCGGGAGAACAAAACUGCUGUGGUUGUGGGGACGAUCACAGAUGAUGUGCGGAUUCUGGAAGUGCCCAAGCUGAAGGUGUACCGACACUUUGGCAAGGCCCCAGGAACUCCACACAGCCACACCAAACCCUAUGUCCGUUCCAAGGGCCGGAAGUUCGAGCGUGCCAGAGGCCGAAGGGCCAGCCGAGGCUACAAAAACUAACCCUGGCUCUUACUGUUAAUAAAAAAGCUUUGGAUGU
This 372-nucleotide long non-coding RNA is filed under the name Rattus norvegicus (Norway rat). Its description in RNAcentral is "long non-coding RNA NONRATT000714". The record is from RNAcentral. Lineage: Eukaryota; Metazoa; Chordata; Mammalia; Rodentia; Muridae.